CCCGCAACGAGCGCAACCCCGCCGUUAGUGCCAGCGGUUCGGCCGGGCACUCUAACGGGACUGCCCGCGAAAGCGGGAGGAAGGAGGGGACGACGUCUGGUCAGCAUGGCCCUUACGGCCUGGGCGACACACGUGCUACAAUGCCCACUACAAAGCGAUGCCACCCGGCAACGGGGAGCUAAUCGCAAAAAGGUGGGCCCAGUUCGGAUUGGGGUCUGCAACCCGACCCAUGAAGCCGGAAUCGCUAGUAAUCGCGGAUCAGCCAUGCCGCGGUGAAUACGUUCCCGGGCCUU
This 293-nucleotide ribosomal RNA is filed under the name uncultured Thermus sp. RNAcentral describes it as "partial 16S ribosomal RNA". It matches the Rfam family "Bacterial small subunit ribosomal RNA", at positions 1086 to 1382 of the family's 1533-position model. The record is from RNAcentral. Lineage: Bacteria; Thermotogati; Deinococcota; Deinococci; Thermales; Thermaceae.